This 253-nucleotide ribosomal RNA is filed under the name uncultured bacterium. RNAcentral describes it as "partial 16S ribosomal RNA". It matches the Rfam family "Bacterial small subunit ribosomal RNA", at positions 524 to 776 of the family's 1533-position model. The record is from RNAcentral.
UACGUAGGCAGCAAGCGUUGUUCGGAGUUACUGGGCGUAAAGAGUGUGUAGGCGGUUUGCCAAGUUCGGUGUAAAAUCUCCCGGCUCAACUGGGAGGGUGCGCCGAAAACUGGCAGGCUGGAGUGCGGGAGAGGAGAGCGGAAUUCCUGGUGUAGCGGUGAAAUGCGUAGAUAUCAGGAGGAACACCGGUGGUGUAGACGGCUCUCUGGACCGCAACUGACGCUGAGACACGAAAGCGUGGGGAGCAAACAGG